UACGGGGGGAGCAAGCGUUGUUCGGAUUUACUGGGCGUAAAGGGCGCGUAGGCGGUAGCACAAGUCAGUUGUGAAAUCUCCGGGCUUAACUCGGAAAGGUCAACUGAUACUGUGCGACUAGAGUGCAGAAGGGGCAACUGGAAUUCUCGGUGUAGCGGUGAAAUGCGUAGAUAUCGGGAGGAACACCAGUGGCGAAGGCGACUUCCUGGCCUGUUCUUGACGCUGAGGCGCGAAAGCUAGGGGAACAAACGGG
This 253-nucleotide ribosomal RNA is filed under the name uncultured bacterium. Its description in RNAcentral is "partial 16S ribosomal RNA". It matches the Rfam family "Bacterial small subunit ribosomal RNA", at positions 524 to 776 of the family's 1533-position model. The record is from RNAcentral.